This 169-nucleotide ribosomal RNA is filed under the name Thaxterogaster sp. UT10. RNAcentral's name for it is "Gigasperma sp. UT10 5.8S ribosomal RNA". It matches the Rfam family "5.8S ribosomal RNA". From Rfam's summary of the family: 5.8S ribosomal RNA (5.8S rRNA) is a component of the large subunit of the eukaryotic ribosome. It is transcribed by RNA polymerase I as part of the 45S precursor that also contains 18S and 28S rRNA. Lineage: Eukaryota; Fungi; Basidiomycota; Agaricomycetes; Agaricales; Cortinariaceae. The record is from RNAcentral.
UACAACUUUCAGCAACGGAUCUCUUGGCUCUCGCAUCGAUGAAGAACGCAGCGAAAUGCGAUAAGUAAUGUGAAUUGCAAAAUUCAGUGAAUCAUCGAAUCUUUGAACGCACCUUGCGCUUCUUGGUAUUCCGAGAAGCAUGCCUGUUUGAGUGUCAUUAAAUUCUCAA